GGUCACACGGCGAAGCUGAACGACGGCUGCUGGCAUCCUAAAAUCAAAGAGGAGUUUCUGACCUGCUCCAGUGACGGGACGGUGCGGGAGUGGGACUUGAACUCGGAGAAGCAGCACAAGUCAGUGUUCAAGCCUCGAUCGCUGCAGGGCAAGAGAGUGACCCCCACCUGACGGGAAACUGAUCGCCGCCGGCUGCCAGGACGGCUCCAUCCAGAUCUGGGACAGGAACCUGAGCAUGGAAACCGUAUGGACCGCAGACGGUGGCUAUGAAAGCUCUCCAUGUGUCUUAUGAGAGUAUUAAUGGAGCGCAGGUCUCACCUUCGGCUCAUCCAGACGUGUUGAAAGGUCCUCCGGAUCCGACACGUCCAGCCUCACUUUCUCCUACGACGGAGUAACUCUAGCAUCAUGAGGAGGAGACGACACUCUGCACAACUUCAGGAAACCUCUCGCUGCUGUACACUGGCUUGACCUCCUUCUUUCCAAUGAUAGUCCGGAUGAUAAACUGCUGCUGACGGGAACCUCGGUCAAGAAGGACGAAGGCAACGGGAAGCUGCUGUUCUUUGAGCGGGAAUCUCUGCGGGAGGUCUAUGAGAUUGAAGUCGCCGAUGCGGUGCGUCUGACACACACUUCUGUGUUGCUCUCAUGAGCGUGGUCGGCUGUCUUUGGCAUCCCAAGCUGAAUCAGA
Long non-coding RNA from Cyprinus carpio (common carp), 685 nucleotides. RefSeq lists it as uncharacterized. NCBI's taxonomy places the organism in Eukaryota, Metazoa, Chordata, Actinopteri, Cypriniformes, Cyprinidae. The transcript is spliced from 6 exons. The record is from RefSeq and is a predicted model, not a curated record.